This 1181-nucleotide long non-coding RNA is filed under the name Mus spicilegus (steppe mouse). Its description in RNAcentral is "lncRNA (ENSMSIG00000008686.1)". Lineage: Eukaryota; Metazoa; Chordata; Mammalia; Rodentia; Muridae. The record is from RNAcentral.
CUGUAUUAAAGGGUUUCAGCAUUAGGGACCUCUUUUCUAGAUUUUAGAUAAGAUUGUUGAUUAUCUAAACCAGUCGAUUAAGAUUAAACAAUUCAAUCCUAGAAACCAAUGAAGCCCACUUUAGCUUUCUCAGUGGCAAAUUUUUGAGGUCUUACAUGAUUGUCUCUGACAACAUCUUACUCUGGAAAUCCUAGAGCCUGUCAUCCUCCUGCCUCAGCCACGCAAGUACAUGUGCCACGACAUCCAUGUUAUAGUAAAUAUUAUUUUAGUUUUUAAAUCUCACUUAGACCAUAUAGUUCCCAAAUAAAAGACACAAAACCUUUUAUAUUUAUAGUAGGCCUUAAAGCACUAGAGCUGGGUAGUUAUCAGUGCUCUAUGCUAGUUUGUCUACUUUCUUGUUAGUAAUCCUGAGAUAUCACUUGCCACAUUCUGCCUGGGCCACUCCUACUCCAACAGGCCAGCCCUCUUGGCCAUGAGCUCACCAUCUACCUACCUCUAGGUGACUUUUCUUGUCUUUCUCCCCUCUUUCAUGGUCUCUUCCUCCAACCUCAAGCCUGGAAUCUGAAGCCUCACCUACCUUUCUUCUACCCAGCUCGUUGAGGACGCUGGCUGCCGAGGUUGCUGCUGCUGGUAGGGAGACUCUGCUUGUGGUUCACAGGAGACCCACCAUGUUUGAGCACUCAACUCCUCCUGUAUCUGUCUGACUCACCUUCUGCCUGAUUCUCCAAGGACACGGAUUGGGGCUGGACAUCACAGAGACCAAUAGUGGAUGAAAGAGGCCUUUGCAUCAGAGGUCCCACAGGGUCCAUGUUUUCUCUGUUGUCUGCACAGCACUGCUACUGAAGGCUACCAUUAGAAGUGACAGUUUUACCUAUGAAGGAUGAGGAUGGUAGCCUUAAAGAAUGAACCUGAGACUCAGAAAAAACCUACCUGUGGAGGAUAAAUGGUUACAGCCUCUCAGCAGGUUACAGGCUGAAGCUGUCUGAGGGCAGCAGGACUUUCACUUACUCAUGUCCCAAUUGACAUAGGAUCCUAGGAUUGUGAAACCUGGAACCCAGUGAGUGCUAACCCAAGUGACCCAUCCAACCUGGACAUUACCUGUGAGUAACUUCUGUCCCAUUAUUUCUACCACUGUCUAAAUACAGAAGGCUGCAGCCAGGACAUUUGGCCCCCAUAGGAAA